This 492-nucleotide ribosomal RNA is filed under the name uncultured bacterium. Its description in RNAcentral is "partial 16S ribosomal RNA". It matches the Rfam family "Bacterial small subunit ribosomal RNA", at positions 29 to 507 of the family's 1533-position model. The record is from RNAcentral.
AGUGAACGCUGGCGGUAGGCCUAACACAUGCAAGUCGAACGGCAGCACAGUAAUAGCUUGCUCUUACGGGUGGCGAGUGGCGGACGGGUGAGGAAUACAUCGGAAUCUACUUUUUCUUGGGUGAUAACGUAGGGAAACUUACGCUAAUACCGCAUACGACCUACGGGUGAAAGCAGUGGAUCUUCGGACCUUGCGCGAUUGUAUUAGCCGAUGUCGGAUUAGCUAGUUGGCGGGGUAAAGUCCCACCAAUGCGACGAUCCGUAGCUGGUCUGAGAGGAUGAUCAGCCACACUGGAACUGAGACACGGACCAGACUACUACGGGAGGCAGCAGAGGGGAAUAUUGGACAAUGGGCGAAAGCAUGAUACAGCAAUACCGCGUGGGUGAAGAAGGCCUUCGGGUUGUAAAGCCCUUUUGUUGGGAAAGAAAAGCAGCAGGUUAAUACCACGCUGUUCUGACGGUACCCAAAGAAUAAGCAACGGCUAACUUCGUG